CAGUACGAAUACAGACUGUGAAAGCGUGGCCUAUCGAUCCUUUUGAAUCCGAUAUUCAGAUGUGAUGUGUGAGACUGACCUCGAAAUUCCUUGUACACUUUAAAUGCAUUGAAUGUGCAUAGUAAACGAUUUGAGUCAAGUUCGUGUGUGGUGUACAGCCCAUAUUCAAACCCACCGCUUAAAUUCGUCUUUCUCUCUUUAUUUUGCCUUUCAGAGUAUGAUCACUUUGCCCGCCAUGAAAACAGAAAUGCCAAUCGUGAGACAUGAUAUUGAUGGUUAUUUGACUCGAAAGNACUCGAAAGACCGAUUGUAUUUUUGUUCCACUAGUUAUACCAGAGACUUGUCUCACGCACGUGAAGAUUGACGUAUCGUUUCCGUUUAGCCCCGGGUUACUGUUGACAAUACACGUCGUCUCCCGACCUUGUGUUCUUCCUUGUGGAUUUCCUAUUCGAAGUUGUUCUAUUUCGGGGAUUGGUAUUGCGCUAAUUCUGGAAUCCCAUUUCGAAUACUAUUCACAAUACUACAUCAGAGUUUGAAGCAAUUGGUGUCAGAUAAGUUACCACAGUAAGAACUGGCUUGUGGCGGCAAAGCGUUCAUAGAGACGCCGGUUUUGAUGCUUCGAUGUCGGCUCCAACCACUAAUAGGGAAUGUGCGCUGGGUUUAGGCCGUCGUGACGCAUUAGUUUUACCCCAUUAAUGAGUGU
This 703-nucleotide non-coding RNA is filed under the name Echinostoma caproni. Its description in RNAcentral is "Eukaryotic large subunit ribosomal RNA". It matches the Rfam family "Eukaryotic large subunit ribosomal RNA", at positions 2735 to 3003 of the family's 3401-position model. The record is from Rfam by way of RNAcentral. Lineage: Eukaryota; Metazoa; Platyhelminthes; Trematoda; Plagiorchiida; Echinostomatidae.